UACGUAGGGUGCGAGCGUUAAUCGGAAUUACUGGGCGUAAAGCGUGCGCAGGCGGUUCGUUGUGUCUGAUGUGAAAGCCCCGGGCUUAACCUGGGAAUGGCAUUGGAAACUGGCGAGCUUGAGUGUGGCAGAGGGGGGUGGAAUUCCGCGUGUAGCAGUGAAAUGCGUAGAGAUGCGGAGGAACACCGAUGGCGAAGGCAGCCCCCUGGGCUGACACUGACGCUCAGGCACGAAAGCGUGGGGAGCAAACAGG
RNAcentral lists this ribosomal RNA (253 nucleotides) under uncultured bacterium. Its description in RNAcentral is "partial 16S ribosomal RNA". It matches the Rfam family "Bacterial small subunit ribosomal RNA", at positions 524 to 776 of the family's 1533-position model. The record is from RNAcentral.